AUUGAACGCUGGCGGCAGGCCUAACACAUGCAAGUCGAACGAGUGGCGAACGGGUGAGUAAUACGUGGGUAACUGCCCGAUAGAGGGGGAUAACCACUGGAAACGGUGGCUAAUACCGCAUACUAUCGGACAACCCAUAUGGGAUUAGCUAGUAGGUAAGGUAAUGGCUUACCUAGGCGACGAUCCCUAGCUGGUCUGAGAGGAUGAUCGGCCACACUGGGACGGAGACACGGCCCAGACUCCUACGGAGGCAGCAGUGGGGAAUAUUGCACAAUGGGCGCAAGCCUGAUGCAGCCAUGCCGCGUGUAUGAAGAAGGCCCUAGGGUUGUAAAGUACUUUCAGUCGGGAGGCGUUACCGACAGAAGAAGCACCGGCUAACUCCGUGCCAGCAGCCGCGGUAAUAC
RNAcentral lists this ribosomal RNA (404 nucleotides) under uncultured bacterium. RNAcentral describes it as "partial 16S ribosomal RNA". It matches the Rfam family "Bacterial small subunit ribosomal RNA", at positions 30 to 526 of the family's 1533-position model. The record is from RNAcentral.